Long non-coding RNA from Ostrea edulis (European flat oyster), 2658 nucleotides. RefSeq lists it as uncharacterized. The record is from RefSeq and is a predicted model, not a curated record. The transcript is spliced from 2 exons. Lineage: Eukaryota; Metazoa; Mollusca; Bivalvia; Ostreida; Ostreidae.
UGUAUAUGUAUAUAUAUAUAUAUAUAUAUAUAUACACAUGCACUCGCAUAUAAUAUGCAAUAGAUGUAAGAAAUUUACUCAUUUAUUACACCGACGUGGAACUUUUAUUUCUUAAUUCUAGUGAUUGUUUUAUAAAAGUACAAAAUAAUGAUAUGCACCCACGUAAUGUAUAGGAAGUAAAUGCUACAAACGUCUGCUUUACGAGUACUCUUAACACACAUCUACCCCCCGUCUCACGGAAGUAUGAAGAAGGAAACUUUAACUCUAUUGGCUGCGAACGAGCAAGAAGGAAGACGAAAAAGGAGAACAUAAUUAUUUCCGGGUUCUUUUUCCUCUUUUAGCUUUGAUCUAUUGGCUGCAAACGAGCAUUAUCUCUAAGAAAGGAAGACAAAGGGGGGGGGGGGGGGAGAAUUAUUUCCAUUUUUUUCUCUCGCUUUGAUAUGUCUAUUUAUCUUUCUUGAAUUUGAUGCAACUUAGAAAUUUUAAGGCGGCAUGGGGUAUCUACAUUUUGCAGAAUUCUUGCCUUAGAAACUGAUAUAUAAGUAAUUCUAAACCUUUUGCACAGAAAGAAGUAAGUGUCGCCGUAAUUUAUAGCCCGGGAGAUUGUAUGAUAAUAGGGUUAUUACCGGCAACAGACAGAUUGUGUAACACCAACAUAUACCGGUAUCGAAUGACCAAAUUUCACAAAGAUGCAGCUUUGCUACUAAUAAAGAACUCGAUACGUUGUUUAUGAAUAAAUUGUAUUUAAAUGAAUUUGGAUUUAUAUUUACAUAACUCGGGUUCUAAGAUGCUGAAAUGAUCCGUUUUCAACUAUACAGAAAAUCUUAAAUUACCGACACAUUAUGUAACUAGAAUGCAACCUGAUAAAACUUUCUUUUGACUUUGAAUAAAUUAAUUGUAAGGAGAUAGAUUGAGAGUCAAAUGUUAAAAAUGGCACUACAGGUAAUUAUUUUUCAUAAAUGCUGAAUCACUUUGAAAUGUGUUACUUUGAAUACUAGAACGUAUGUUUUAUUGAAAAUCACAUGUGCAUAGGGCGUAUAAUCUGAAAAAUCACUAUAGAAAAUCAGUUAUCUAUAUGAAAGACCUCCCCUAUAGGUUUCGUCAUGUCUAAAACGAACAUCCUGUAGUUCAAAAUCACACGAGAUACCCUCACCCGAUAAAGAUCCUUCAGGUUGAUUAUUACAUAACCCGGAAGGAAUGACCCCAUAAAUGGCAAACCUCAUAGAAAACACAUUGUAAUAGAUCAUUGAAAGGGCAGCGUUUGAUUGCAGUGGUGGGCACCGACAAGGAAAAGUCCCGCAAACAGAAUGGCUGGUGGUUGUAAUCUGACACAACGCCAUCAAUUAUUAAGGAAAUCGCUGGGUUUGAACGUUAAAUAUCUCUCGUCUGUUCGUGUUUACCCACACCAUGGAGUUUUUUUUCACGGCAAGAGAUUUCAUGUUAUUCGCUAAUUGGUUAAUCCCACAUAUAAAAUGAAUUCAGGUUCUAGCCUAUUAUUUUGGGCACAUUUAUGUUUAAUGAAACCAUUUUUUGCUGAAUGGUAACAUUCAUUGAGGAAACUUGUGCAUCGCUGGCACUGUGAACGAGUCAUUGAGUUCUUGUAGAGAUGGAACAAUUAGACACACCUUCUGUUUGGCAUUAGACCCAUAGAACACCCAAGAUUCUUCACAGUAUUGACUACACCGCGAUGUCAGACGAUCACAUUUCAACAUAUCCUCAGUUUGUGGAACAGGCUAACACUAUUCACAACUCUUACUCAGAACUACACAUCUUAUAUAAAUAGCAGACUACUGAUGUAUGUUUCAUAAUAUACGAGUUCAAGCUACAGUUUCUGUAUUCCAACAUCCAUUCCGAUGAAACUUAAGCCACUCUCCGCCUUUUAUCGCAAGUCCCAUCGAUAUAUUUUUCGUACUUAAAUGACAAGGUAAUUACUUAUAAGGUAUUCAACACAAAUUUCUUAUCAGUCCGUAAAACGCCAUCCUAAGUGGUUGUAUUAAAUAGUAUCUACUCUCAGGAUUCCCUGCGCCAGUGUGUCGUCUGUCAAGAAAGUACCACUACUCGAAAUCUACUACCAAAGCGCCUUUGUAACACCUGGACGAAGGCUUGGACAUUACUGUCCGCUGUGGAGAUAUUAACUGCUAUACAAUAGAUACUUAUCAAGCAGUCUAUGUCAAAUUCAUCGUCUGGAGCGGAUUUCAGAGAAAGACAAACGACACAGAGCCCGUCGAUUUGAGGAAACUAACGGCUACGUAAACGCUGGGUAUAUGUUGUGAUAAAUGACUUGAUUAUAGGCCUAAAGACCCGUCAUUCCGGCCCAAGAGCCAUAAAAUCGCCAUUACCCACAGACGAAUCCCGAGCUCGACUAUCGUCUGGUGAUGCCUGUGAUUAAAAUACGAUUAAAGUGAAUUUACGGCCCCAGAGAUCUGUAAAGUUGAUUUGAGCGAGAAUAAGUGUUUGAACUAUUGUUAAUUUUUUGUUUGUUCAGAGCAUUUUAGAUGUCUAUAUGAAUCCUGUUUCGUUUCAUAUUGACACAAUCGUUAAUAUCUCCAUUAGAGUUGUUUUCUGAAUGAACGAUAUGCUUCUUUGAAUUCUUAUUUCUGAAAAUUAAUACUUUUAACGAAGUGAAGUUCAAGUUUUGAAAUAAAAGAGUUUUUUGUG